AGGUUCACUUGAGGAGACAGACUCUGAUCCUGAGAGGUGAGAAAUGAUUCUUCACUCACAAUGAUCGCUAGUUGCUCUCUUUCUGUCACAGAGUGAAUCACUUAGAAGAGAUAUUCUUAGCGAGACGAGGCAGACACACAGCGUGGCGCAUCUGAAUGGGGAAUUUAACAACUUGAAGCCAGCCAGAUCUUCAAUGAGCAAGAAGGCAAGAAAGAAAGCUCUUUGCAUGUAAUAUAGAUGCUCCUCCAACAGUGUCAUCAGAAUGACAAGCAGAGGAACCAGAUGAACCAAUGAGGUGGCGGAAAUGUGCCAAGAAACACAGCAGUGUGCCAGCAAAGGCAGAGAAGAAGACGAAGACUGCAAGAUAGUAAACAUUGAUGCAAACAAAACCGGAUUCAAAUAUAAUCAAAUUCAUUUUUCAAUAUUUUCCUUUCAGAGAUGUAGCGUUAUCCAGUUACAAGUUUGCAUUUUGUCAAUGUUGAAUGAAAAUUACCUUCUAACCAUUAAACCUGCAUUGACAAAAACAAGCUGUUAAUACAACACUGACAUAUCACCUUUUAAGUUGAAAUGUCAAACGUGUUAGCAAACAGUUGCCUAUUUACACAUCAAGCAGACAUAGAGCAUCAUUAGCCUUCAAUUGUCGUGUUUUUGUGUUAUCCUGAAUGUGAAUGUGCAAUAUUCACUCUCUUAAGUUGUUUUAGUCUCUUCCCACUCCUGAGGGAAAUAUCUGGCUCUUUAGCUACUAAAUCCUCCACUAUGUUCACCAGCUAGUCGCUAACUUUGUCUGUCUGCUUUACAGAUUUUCAGAGCUUUUUUGCUGAAAACAGCUGCCUGCUGAUGAAAGCAGUAAGACUGAAUCACAACAGUACGGUUGUGCGCCGUAAAACCAAAACAACGAGCUGAAAGAUGCUGAAACACUACAGAGCUGAGGGGAACUGCAGAGUCAAGUGAUAAUUCUCAGGGCCCAUCAACCCUACACCAACAUUCAUUUUUCACAGCAGGACAGUCAUUCAAAAACCUGUGGGAAAAAAGCAGCAAAUCCUCACGCUGGAGAAGCUGCAAUAUGUGAAUGUUUGGCAUUUUUGUUUGAAAAAUGACUGUUGAGCAUGUUUAAUUUAAUGUUUAUGUAUUCGGAUUUAAUUAAUUUAUUCAUUCAAUUCACGUGCCUGUAUCUGUGUGUGUGAGUUUGUCAUACUCUGUUGCUCUUUGCGUUCAAAGUGUUUUGGAUUACUAAAUGCAUUAUUAUUAAUAAUAAAAGUCUGACUGUGUUUUAUAAAAAGGUAGCCAUCUCUUUAGUUGUUUUGUUGAUCUCUGUGCCAAAGCUACAAUCAUAUCACAUUCUUAAUUUUGAUGCCUCCUUCGCUUCCCCUCUGUGACUCUUGUCUCUUCAGU
This is a long non-coding RNA of Siniperca chuatsi (mandarin fish), 1392 nucleotides long. RefSeq lists it as uncharacterized. Lineage: Eukaryota; Metazoa; Chordata; Actinopteri; Centrarchiformes; Sinipercidae. The record is from RefSeq and is a predicted model, not a curated record. The transcript has 3 exons.